This 253-nucleotide ribosomal RNA is filed under the name uncultured bacterium. RNAcentral's name for it is "partial 16S ribosomal RNA". It matches the Rfam family "Bacterial small subunit ribosomal RNA", at positions 524 to 776 of the family's 1533-position model. The record is from RNAcentral.
UACGGAGGGUGCAAGCGUUAUCCGGAUUCACUGGGUUUAAAGGGUGUGUAGGCGGAUUCUUAAGUCAGUGGUGAAAUCUCCGGGCUCAACCCGGAAACUGCCAUUGAUACUAUUAGUCUUGAAUUUUGUUGAGGUAGGCGGAAUAUAUCAUGUAGCGGUGAAAUGCUUAGAUAUGAUAUAGAACACCGAUUGCGAAGGCAGCUUACUAAACAAAUAUUGACGCUGAGGCACGAAAGCGUGGGGAUCAAACAGG